This 212-nucleotide ribosomal RNA is filed under the name Awaous gutum (tank goby). Its description in RNAcentral is "partial 16S ribosomal RNA". The record is from RNAcentral. Lineage: Eukaryota; Metazoa; Chordata; Actinopteri; Gobiiformes; Gobiidae.
UACCGAGCCCCAAAAGCUAGCCUGCACCUUAAAAAGCAACAAACCACAUCAAUACCCCCAAAUGUACUACCCAUUUGUACAACAAACCAUUUUUCCCCCCAAGUAUAGGAGAUAGAAAAGGACCCACAGCGCAAUAGAAAAAGUACCGCAAGGGAACGCUGAAAAAGAACUGAAAGAACCCAGUAAAGGCAAGAAAAGCAGAGACUAACCCU